This 442-nucleotide ribosomal RNA is filed under the name uncultured bacterium. RNAcentral describes it as "partial 16S ribosomal RNA". It matches the Rfam family "Bacterial small subunit ribosomal RNA", at positions 339 to 795 of the family's 1533-position model. The record is from RNAcentral.
CUACGGGUUGCUGCAGUGGGGAAUAUUGCACAAUGGGGGAAACCCUGAUGCAGCGACGCCGCGUGAAGGAUGAAGGUCUUCGGAUCGUAAACUUCUAUCAGCAGGGAAGAAACAAAUGACGGUACCUGACUAAGAAGCUCCGGCUAACUACGUGCCAGCAGCCGCGGUAAUACGUAGGGAGCGAGCGUUAUCCGGAUUUACUGGGUGUAAAGGGUGCGUAGGCGGCCUGGUAAGUUAGAAGUGAAAUUUUGGGGCUCAACCCCAGAGCUGCUUCUAAAACUGCUGGGCUAGAGUGCAGGAGAGGAAAGCGGAACUCCACGUGUAGCGGUGAAAUGCGUAGAGAUGUGGAGGAACACCAGUAGCGAAGGCGGCUUUCUGGACUGUAACUGACGCUGAGGCACGAAAGCGUGGGGAGCAAACAGGAUUAGAUACCCUGGUAGUC